Molecule: ribosomal RNA, 232 nt
Filed under: uncultured bacterium
Lineage: Bacteria
Description: partial 16S ribosomal RNA
Rfam family: Bacterial small subunit ribosomal RNA
Source: RNAcentral
CGGGACGGGUGAGUAAUGUCUGGGAAACUGCCUGAUGGAGGGGGAUAACUACUGGAAACGGUAGCUAAUACCGCAUAACGUCGCAAGACCAAAGAGGGGGACCUUCGGGCCUCUUGCCAUCGGAUGUGCCCAGAUGGGAUUAGCUAGUAGGUGGGGUAACGGCUCACCAGGCGACGAUCCCUAGCUGGUCUGAGAGGAUGGCCAGCCACACUGGAACUGAGACACGGUCCAG